CUUGGGCCCCAGACACAGGGGGAAUGACCCAUUCUUUUUCCCCAGUUGUUACCCAAACCACGUCCCCUGCCAGCACUGUGGCACAGAUGGCGUCAGCAGUCCUUCCUUGGUCAGAAAUCCCAACAUCAGAGGGCAUGCAGAGCUCCUUUUGAUUAGGAGGGAGUGGAGACCUCUGCCCUCCGAAUGGAGCUAAUGGAAGAGGAAGGUAGCAGUACAAAUCACUUCCCUGAGUACAAAGGGAAGGUGUGAUUCUUCUGACAGCUGAGAGACUGGAUUCUUAAAAUGGAGUCAUCAAAUGUCAACACUGCAAGGGACAUUGGAGACCAUCUAUCAAAAUAGAUAAUUAUUCAUUCUCCUGCAAGGCGGAAGUGUGUUUCCCACCUACCAAGUGGGAUUUGAGAAAUAACUUGUCCUGGAGGUACACAAGUGAGAUUGUCUCUGUGACAACCUAGCCACCACGUUUCCACGAGAAGAUGAUUUUCAAGGUCUAAGAUAUUAACAGACAGAAAAUGAAAGCAAGACAGAUCCUCAACUGAAGGAAAAUUAUACAGAAAGUAGACACAGGACUUCUGAAGUUGAGAAUAUUAUCUAUUUUGAAAUAAUUUUUUAAUCUCUACAAACAAAUUUUAGGGAAAUUCUCUGAAACUUCACUCUGGAAAAUUAGAGAAGUUCUCAGGGGAAUAAAGCACUGAUUCCACCACGACUUUUUCAGUCUUUCAAAGAUGGUUAAAGCUUUCAUUUUUGAUCCUACCAAUCUUCCUCUAAUUCUCUCUCCAUCAGAUGGAAUAUACCCUCUCCAUAAUCUUCCUUUCCGGUCUAAACACAGCAACAAGAAAACUGGGUAUAAACAUAUCCCAGCCUUUCAGUAUAUGUACGUAGUUUGGUUAUUAUAAAUAUUAAUGGAUGAUGUAGAUGAAGACACAUUUCUGAAGUGAUGAAUUGCUUUCUGAAAGGACAAGUACAAAUGACCCAAGUGUCUUCAAAUUUGGAAGCAAGUCAGCUUUCCGUGUCUCUUAUUUUGCUGUACUCAAUCUGUGUCAAAGUGACUCAAGUUUAGUUUCCACUUAAAUAACGCUUCAGGAAACAAAUCACAUCAACUUGAUGAGAUUUCUUUUUACUUCAUCCUACUGUUUUUCAAAAUUACGAAUUGCUUGCCUUGACACUAAGGCAUCCAUGAUGAUUAACUUGGCUGAUUACUCAAUUAUUUCUUUCUAAAAUUAGAAACUUCAAAGUGCUUUUUUAUAUUUAAAUGACUAGCACUCGAGUAACACUGCUGAUCAAUCAUUUCAAGCUAAUGAUUAAAAACAGUGACCGUUCCUUUACUCUCCAUCACUACUCUAAACGGUGUGUCAGACACAGCAGGCUCGAUUUAUUGUCAGAGCAUUUUAACACCGGCCAACACAGAUGGAACACUGUUCAGGCCUUUAACACUCUUCACUUAAUAUCUGCUUUGAAUGGUUUUAGAAAGUGGCUAUUUCUCAAUUUAAAUUAUUUGAUUUAGUAAGCCACGUUCUUUUGGGAUGUGUUGUGUCCUAGAAGAAAUUUUGUAUUUUAAAAGCUACAUUUUCAUGGUUCUGCAUGGCACGGAGAAGACAACAAUUUCCCAAAUGGUUCCAAAAGGCAUUGAAUUAUUUAUUGAGAAAAAUGUGAUAGAACAAAGAGUGAAGAGUUGAUACAUCUUGUGUACUUUAGAUAUGAUACAAAUUAAUUUACUUUCAUUAAAUUUCGAAAUCAUUAAUUCAAUCCAGAAAUGACAGUGUUUUGUUUAAAUGAUACAAAAUAACAAUGAGCUACCUGGCUUGAGCAAUACAUUUCUCAAUAGAUGCUUUUGUUAUAUUCAUGGCUUCUCAUGUCCUUG
Molecule: non-coding RNA, 1858 nt
Organism: Equus caballus (horse)
Lineage: Eukaryota; Metazoa; Chordata; Mammalia; Perissodactyla; Equidae
Source: RefSeq, a predicted model, not a curated record